ACCAGCCAAAACAAACAGAGAUAGAGGUAAGCAUUCAUCGUGAUCAAUGUCGUGCAUAUGCCGCUGUUCAGGGUUGUACAUGGAGUCCUAAUUACCGGCUAUGACACCGCCACGCCGUGAAGACCAUAUGCUGCAGUCAGCCUUGUCUUUGUCUCCAACGACGGUACGAUUUCACGCCUACGGUUCGCCACCGUCAUAGAAUCCUUUUUUUGCACCGCGUCACGGACCAUAGGGGUCACCUGAGCGCUAGAUCGGGGUGGCGUUUGCUAGCAAUAGCCGCAGCCGGGUGGAUGCAGUUCUGCCGGGGCGGACGCCGAGAGAGAUAGGAGAGAGAAUGAGAGGCAAGAGCGCGAGAGGUUGAAGAUGGUCCGGGUACCAUCCAUCUCGUGAUGGGCGUCUAUGAUUAAAAGCGAACAUACCCUUCGCCUCAUAAAAUCCGGGCCUUGCGAUGGAAUCUGGGUGGGUCAGAUUAGGUGUGUGGCGUGGCCAAUCCUAGAUCGUUAGUCGCAAAUCCAACAUGCACGAUUGCGUACCGGUUCGGAGUUAUGCGGAUCUAAUCUGGGCCGCACGCCGUUGAUCCAACGGCUGGGAUAGACACGUACCCCUUCGCUGUGUAGAUUUUACAUAAGAAAGUCUGUGCUUUUAUAUAAUUAACAUGCCAUCCUCUGUAGUAGUGAUAUUAUUACAUUCAGGUCCUCAACUUUAUACAUUUGACCCUUUUCUUUCAGGAAUUUAUGCCUGAAGUCCAAAUCAAUCUCAGAUUUAAUAAAAUAAACCAGAAAAAUAAUUUUUAGUAUAGAAAUAAUUUCAGAAACUUGUUUAAUUCAUAACUAAUCAUUUUAACUCUAUUUUAGUUCGUUCCAGUUGUGUUGGCUUUGUAAUAAAAUUUUCUACACAGUAGCGAACCUUAUUUUUAUAUAUAUCACAUAUUGUUAUAACUAGAUAUUGAUUUACCCUUUGCGUAGUACAUUUAUUUUACUAAUCAAGGUUGAUAGGUCUAUAAUUAUAAUUAGACUAAAAUAAGAUUGCUAACCAAGAUAUAAUCUAGAUUAAAGUGGAAUUGAUUAUUUAGAGUACAUUUACUCAUAUGAUGAAUAUUAACCAAUUUUAAUGUAUUAAUAUUCCAUCAUGUAGACAUUCCGAAAACCAUAUCUGUUCCACUGUAGCUCCGAAUUUAGUGGUUCUCGAACCUAGGAUCUAGUUAUGAUGCGUAGAACAUUAUUAUGUAGUUUGUUCUUAUGUUUGGUGUGAUGUAUACCAUGUUUGUUUGUAUUGCUAUGAUUAGCAGCGAGGUUACGAGAAUCUUGAAGAACAAGUUGGUACCUGGAAUCUCGAGUCUAAGGCAUGUUGUGCCCUUGAUCACUUUUCUUUCCCCAAAAAUGUUGUUGUUAAUCACUGUGACAUGCUCAGGUUAAUCUGAUGGGACCUAAUAGGUUUCCCUAGGCUUGUUUAUCUCACACCUUGUUUACCACUGAACUUUUGGGUAGUUAUGCUAUUGCUCUACUUGGUUUUGGGAUUAAUAUUACAUUAUGAUCAUGUUCCAAUUAUGUUGUUGUUUAAUUAUUGUUCAUGACAAGAUCAUUGUGUUAAUUGGAACAUUGAGCUUAACUUGAGAAACACGUGCUACCAAAGCGUAGAAUGGGACGCCCUUGACUGACUAAUUAGGAAAGCUAGUGGAGGACUACCUUACCCGAAAGGGGCAAGAUGAGGGAUUCCUAUAUUGCCCUUCCUAGAAACUGUAGCGGGUUUUCUGAAGCUAGUGGAACUUUGUAAAGGCCUCGUAGUGGAUCCCUAGUCAUUCACCUCGGAAGUGUCUAAGGGUCUAGCUAACCCUGGCUAGGUGGGAUACACGACUUGUGGGUAAAGGGCGCAACCUCUGCAUAGUGUAAAACUGGUAUAUCAGUCGUGCACAGGGUCAUGAGCAGCUCAGGACUCUCGCAUGAUUAAUUUAUGGAACUAAACUUAAUAUGCCAUAUGCAAUGCAUCGCAGGUGUCACUAUCAAUUUUGAUCUCUUACUUAAUUGGGUUGGUAUCUACUUGUACCUAGUAACUACUAAUAAAAUUUUGACCCACUUUAAAAGCAACGCUCAGCUUUAACCAUCUCCUUUGGUAAGCCUUACACUUCACAUGAGCUCCCACCUUUGGUGAGUUCAUGCACCUUAUUCCCCACAACUUGUUGAGCGAUGAACGUAUGUGAGUUCACCUUGUUGUACUCACAUCCUCCCAGGUCAAGAAUAGGUACCACUGGAUGAGGCGCGUGAAGGAUGUCAUGAUGAGUUCGUCAAUGGUCUAGGCCGUCGUCUCCCAGUCAACUUUGUGUUGCUGGAUCGUUGUCUUCUCAUGAUGUAAUCAUUUAACUAUUUUGUACAGAACUCUGUUAU
RNAcentral lists this long non-coding RNA (2381 nucleotides) under Zea mays. Its description in RNAcentral is "long non-coding RNA (ZMAY_LNC003502)". Lineage: Eukaryota; Viridiplantae; Streptophyta; Magnoliopsida; Poales; Poaceae. The record is from RNAcentral.